GAACACAGGAGCUGCCAGGUCACAGAGAUGAGAGGUCAGAAUUGGCUCCAGGGCAACGGAAGACCAGUGCAGGAUGAAGUCACAGGGAACAGAAACCGGAGCCACAGAGGACAGGGUAAGUCGCAGAAAGGAGAGACACACAUACAUGGAAAGAGGAGCUUUCUCCAAUCUUAAUGAUUCCCAGCUCUCAGCCUCGUUUCUGCAACCCAGCCUGCAAGCAAACUGUCCUGCUUUGGACCCUGCUGUGUCACUCUCCGCACCAGCCUUUGCCUCUGCUCUUCGCUCUAUGAAGUCCUCCCAGGCUGCACGGAAGGACGACUUUCUCAGAAUCUGAAGAGAUUUCUAGUCUGGAUUUCACUGAUUGCAUUCUCCUGGUGCAGUUCAACACAUCUCCCUGUUUUCUGCAUUUCCUGCAAAUUGACAGCUGGAUCCAAAG
Molecule: long non-coding RNA, 436 nt
Filed under: Pan troglodytes (chimpanzee)
Lineage: Eukaryota; Metazoa; Chordata; Mammalia; Primates; Hominidae
Description: long non-coding RNA NONPTRT002268
Source: RNAcentral